UACGGAGGGUGCGAGCGUUGUCCGGAAUCACUGGGCGUAAAGGGCGCGUAGGCGGCUGGGGAAGUCGGUGGUGAAAGCUCGUGGCUCAACUACGAGUCGGCCAACGAUACUCCUCGGCUCGAGCACUGUAGAGGCAGGUGGAAUUCCGGGUGUAGCGGUGGAAUGCGUAGGAGAUCCGGAAGAACACCGGUGGCGAAGGCGGCCUGCUGGGCAGUGAGCUGACGGCUGAGGCGCGACAGCGUGGGGAGCAAACAGG
RNAcentral lists this ribosomal RNA (256 nucleotides) under uncultured bacterium. Its description in RNAcentral is "partial 16S ribosomal RNA". It matches the Rfam family "Bacterial small subunit ribosomal RNA", at positions 524 to 776 of the family's 1533-position model. The record is from RNAcentral.